AUACGUAGGGGGCGAGCGUUGUCCGGAAUGAUUGGGCGUAAAGGGCGCGUAGGCGGCCCGGUAAGUCUGGAGUGAAAGUCCUGUUUUUAAGAUGGGAAUUGCUUUGGAUACUGUCGGGCUUGAGUGCAGGAGAGGUAAGUGGAAUUCCCAGUGUAGCGGUGAAAUGCGUAGAGAUUGGGAGGAACACCAGUGGCGAAGGCGACUUACUGGACUGUAACUGACGCUGAGGCGCGAAAGUGUGGGGAGCAAACAGGAUUAGAUACCCUGGUAGUCCACACUGUAAACAAUGAAUGCUAGGUGUAGGGGGUAUCGACCCCUUCUGUGCCGCAGUCAACACAAUAAGCAUUCCGCCUGGGGAGUACGGCCGCAAGGUUGAAACUCAAAGGAAUUGGCGGGG
Molecule: ribosomal RNA, 397 nt
Filed under: uncultured bacterium
Lineage: Bacteria
Description: partial 16S ribosomal RNA
Rfam family: Bacterial small subunit ribosomal RNA
Source: RNAcentral